This 1247-nucleotide long non-coding RNA is filed under the name Felis catus (domestic cat). Its description in RNAcentral is "lncRNA (ENSFCAG00000048820.1)". The record is from RNAcentral. Lineage: Eukaryota; Metazoa; Chordata; Mammalia; Carnivora; Felidae.
AUGCUAUACACAGAGACUUCUGAGCCGUCAGGGCCCAAUGUGGAACAUCAGUCUGGAUCACCAAACUACACUUCUUGGGAUUGGCCUGGAGGUGGCGCCCUUGCUGUUGGUCUGGAACCAUUGGACGGAGGCUCAGGCAGGUCUGGAGGAGGAUGUUACCCAGUGGAAGAUGUCCUGAGGGCUAGCCUGGUCCCUUUCAUCUCCUGGAAGAGAACAGGGGCGUCGCCCAAGCCUAAGAGCACUGCCACGUCUUUGAAUUGCUCCAGGUCUAUCUUGAAAUCUGUGUUUAAAUCCCAUCCCCUUAGAUCCAGAGUGAUCUGGGUUCUAAAUACGACACCCCGAUUUCUUCGUAAAACAUUUCAAAUCUGGCCUUACCACGAAUCCUUCCAUGACACAGCUUAAAAAUUCUUUUGAUUAAGGGGCCCCUGGCUAGCUUAGUCAGAAAAGCACGCAACUCUUAAUUGCAGGGUUGUGAGCUCGAGCCCCGCAUCGGGUGCAGAGAUUAGUUAAAUAAGUCAAACUUAAAGAAAAAAUUCUUCUUGAUCAAAAUGUACUCUAAGUGUUCAAAGGCCAAAGAUACAGCUGACGUCCUUAAGGAAAAGAUUGCGAGUAGGGCUAGAUUGAGGAUCCACUAUACUUUCCUCCCCUGAGUCCUGCAGCCUGGCCAGCCCCCUCCUCAGUUAUGUUGAGCCCAGGGUCCCCUAGUGGAGGGGCCAGGAAGGAGGCAGAGCUACAGGCAAUCUGAGGCCCCUUGCUAGAUGUGCUUCUGUUUCUUCCAUCUCUGGGCCACUGCUCUGACCAGGGGACCCCCUCUCUGCAAACAGGUUGAGGCAUGUCUGCAAGACUGCCUUCCAUUCCCUGCCUCUGUGAUCUGCUUCUAGUUUUCCAAACAGCAGAGCCUGUGAAAUUAGGUCCAGCCUGGCCAUGACUGCCCUCAAGCGUGAUCCACUGUGUGCGCGUGUGUGUGCCUGUGUGUGUGCCUGCGUUCCCACGGCAGGGCAAAGUGGAUCCGUUCCUUCUAGUCUCAAUCCACGGGUACACCAUCCCAGCUGAGGCGUGGGGAGCUCUCCCCAUAGCCUCUUUAUUUACUCUAUGCCUCCAGCAUCAGCUGGCAAAUGAGUCCCAGGUUUCAUUCACCACCUUCCCUUCCCCUAAAAAAAGGUCAUUCGUUUUAUGACCAAGCUCACAUGCAUUCACUUUGGAGUAAAGCAAAUAAAUGUUUAAUAAAAGCUGGAGUCUCCUAAGAC